GACGAACGCUGGCGGCGUGCUUAACACAUGCAAGUCGAACGGAAAGGCCCUGCUUUUGUGGGGUGCUCGAGUGGCGAACGGGUGAGUAACACGUGAGUAACCUGCCCUUGACUUUGGGAUAACUUCAGGAAACUGGGGCUAAUACCGGAUAGGAGCUCCUGCUGCAUGGUGGGGGUUGGAAAGUUUCGGCGGUUGGGGAUGGACUCGCGGCUUAUCAGCUUGUUGGUGGGGUAGUGGCUUACCAAGGCUUUGACGGGUAGCCGGCCUGAGAGGGUGACCGGGCAACUGUGGGACUGAGAACGGGCCAAGCCGCCGAGGGGGGGCAGCAGGGGGAAUUUUUGCCAAGGGGGCGGAAGCCGGAUGCAGCAGCCCCGGGUGCGGGAUGCCGGCCUGCGGUUGGAAACCCGUUUGCGCCGGGGACGAAGGGGGGGGGGGGUAAAUGGGUAAAGAAGACCGGCCAAGUAAGGUC
RNAcentral lists this ribosomal RNA (469 nucleotides) under uncultured bacterium. RNAcentral's name for it is "partial 16S ribosomal RNA". It matches the Rfam family "Bacterial small subunit ribosomal RNA", at positions 28 to 493 of the family's 1533-position model. The record is from RNAcentral.